This 429-nucleotide ribosomal RNA is filed under the name Chloroflexota bacterium. Its description in RNAcentral is "Chloroflexi bacterium partial 16S ribosomal RNA". It matches the Rfam family "Bacterial small subunit ribosomal RNA", at positions 355 to 776 of the family's 1533-position model. The record is from RNAcentral. Lineage: Bacteria; Bacillati; Chloroflexota.
UGGGGAAUAUUGCACAAUGGGCGCAAGCCUGAUGCAGCCAUGCCGCGUGUAUGAAGAAGGCCUUCGGGUUGUAAAGUACUUUCAGCGGGGAGGAAGGGAGUAAAGUUAAUACCUUUGCUCAUUGACGUUACCCGCAGAAGAAGCACCGGCUAACUCCGUGCCAGCAGCCGCGGUAAUACGGAGGGUGCAAGCGUUAAUCGGAAUUACUGGGCGUAAAGCGCACGCAGGCGGUUUGUUAAGUCAGAUGUGAAAUCCCCGGGCUCAACCUGGGAACUGCAUCUGAUACUGGCAAGCUUGAGUCUCGUAGAGGGGGGUAGAAUUCCAGGUGUAGCGGUGAAAUGCGUGGAGAUCUGGAGGAAUACCGGUGGCGAAGGCGGCCCCCUGGACAAAGACUGACGCUCAGGUGCGAAAGCGUGGGGAGCAAACAGG